AUUGAACGCUGGCGGCAUGCCUUACACAUGCAAGUCGAACGGCAGCACGGGAGCAAUCCCGGUGGCGAGUGUCGAACGGGUGAGUAAAGUAUCGGAACGUGCCCAGUCGUGGGGGAUAACGUAGCGAAAGUUACGCUAAUACCGCAUACGAUCUAUGGAUGAAAGCGGGGGAUCGCAAGACCUCGCGCGAUUGGAGCGGCCGAUAUCAGAUUAGGUAGUUGGUGGGGUAAAGGCUCACCAAGCCGACGAUCUGUAGCUGGUCUGAGAGGACGACCAGCCACACUGGGACUGAGACACGGCCCAGACUCCUACGGGAGGCAGCAGUGGGGAAUUUUGGACAAUGGGCGAAAGCCUGAUCCAGCCAUGCCGCGUGCAGGAUGAAGGCCUUCGGGUUGUAAACUGCUUUUGUACGGAACGAAAAGGUUUGGCCUAAUAAGCUGAGCUCAUGACGGUACCGUAAGAAUAAGCACCGGCUAACUACGUGCCAGCCGCCGCUGUAA
RNAcentral lists this ribosomal RNA (500 nucleotides) under uncultured bacterium. RNAcentral describes it as "partial 16S ribosomal RNA". It matches the Rfam family "Bacterial small subunit ribosomal RNA", at positions 30 to 523 of the family's 1533-position model. The record is from RNAcentral.